This 120-nucleotide ribosomal RNA is filed under the name uncultured bacterium. RNAcentral describes it as "partial 16S ribosomal RNA". It matches the Rfam family "Bacterial small subunit ribosomal RNA", at positions 215 to 334 of the family's 1533-position model. The record is from RNAcentral.
UUGCCGAAGGAACGGCCCGCGUCCGAUUAGCUUGUUGGUGAGGUAACGGCUCACCAAGGCGACGAUCGGUAGCUGGUCUGAGAGGAUGACCAGCCUCACUGGGACUGAGACACGGCCCAG